AAGUCCGGUAGUGAUUUCACAUCGAAUUGCAAAUUCGAAGAGGCCGUAUUUUCUUGGCCCGGACU
This 65-nucleotide transfer RNA is filed under the name Hoplodactylus sp. Otago Southland. Its description in RNAcentral is "tRNA-Cys". The record is from RNAcentral. Lineage: Eukaryota; Metazoa; Chordata; Lepidosauria; Squamata; Diplodactylidae.